This 1987-nucleotide unclassified non-coding RNA is filed under the name Cyanidioschyzon merolae strain 10D. Its description in RNAcentral is "hypothetical transcript". Lineage: Eukaryota; Rhodophyta; Bangiophyceae; Cyanidiales; Cyanidiaceae. The record is from RNAcentral.
GUUGAGUUUGCAGCGUAGGUGCACUGGUUGGUGGUGGUGGCGAUGCUUCACUGCGUGGUGCUGCUGUUCCAGAUGACGGAAGCGCUUCUAAUGGAGUUGCAGGCGCGAUAAGUGGAAUCCGCUCCCAGUCUGUGUCCUGACGAGCCAACGCGUCCACAAGGCGAACGAGGAAAGGCUGCACAGCUACGGGAACGAGUCGCAAGUGACUGCGAACGGUGUCGAUACCGCAGUGGUGGCAGAGUGCGCGAACCAAAAGACGGGCUUCGUCGCAGGUCUGUUGCACCCGAUCUGCCGGCAAAGUGGCACACAUCGUAAACAGUACGUGCAGUUCGUAGAGAAGCAGGUCCAAGUGUGUUUCCAGUAAAGGCGAGGUCGCACCAGUGACAGUUUUUUCAGUAUUCGGGCCACUUGUGAGCACCUGGUUGCAAAGGCGAUGUAAACACUUUUGCAGCAUGACGAUGCGGCUGGGCGUGGUUUCUUUCGAGGACGUUGGCGCUUGUGACACGGGCACUGUCUGGACGGAGCGCACCGCCGCACGAAGCGCCCGAACCAGCGCUCUGCUUAAUACAAGCACGGGCGCGUGCUCCAGCGUCUUCAGCAUGAGCAAGUUGUAGGCGCGGAGUAGCUGGGGUCCCUCAGGAUACGCGGGUACUCGAUGAUCAAGAAGGCGAUCACAGACUUCAGUGAUGAGUAGCUCCAGCGCCGCGAGAGAGAGCAGGCAAGCGAGUUCUCGUUUCAUGAUCAAGUGCAUGAGCGCGUUGAGUAAGUACUUGACGAUGCGCAUUCCAGCAGCGUCGACUGGCGAUGCCUCGGCUGCUGCAGCCAGCACCGACCGUAUGCCUUGCGUCAGACCGAGGCACAGGUCUGCAGCGUGAUGCUGGAGUGAGCGUUCCUGACCUGCUUUCAUCAUCGCUGAAAGCUCCUUGGCCGCCUGAAUUCGUUCCUCUGCCGACGCUGACUCGCCGAGCAGCGUAUGGCUGAGUCGUCGGACCUGCUGCUCGGCGGAAUCCGCAGCAGCAGCAGCGCCAGAAGCAGCAGCACCAGAAGCAGCGACUGCUGUUGCGGUGACGCCUGCGCCAGCGGCGGGCACUGCGGUACGUCUCCAAAAACGACCUUCCGGGAGGCACGGGGUCGGUGCGAUCGGCGGCUCGAAGCUGGUGUGCCUGUUUGCCGUCUCAUCGAGACGGAUGGCGCGCUCUGGGGGCAGCUGCAGGGACGGCACUGCAGACAGCGCUCGAGGCUCGCUCAAUCCAUCGAUUGGUGGCUGCACGGGCCUCCGCCCGGUUGGCACCUGCGAGUCCAAGGCCGCUGUGCCCGUACCUACCACCACAGCGGUGUCUGCUUUGGCCCGAGCGAGCAUCGCAGCAAAUUGGGUAUCACUGUGUUGCAUGUCGGCGUCGAGUUGGAAGGCGUCCCUGCUGACCGGGACUGCUCCCAAUGGGCUGCCAUCACCAGCAUUCAGGGUGUCUGCCUGCUCCGCAUGCAAACGUCGCUCAGAGACAUCGGAUGCAGGUGUCUGCGGGGCCGAUGCACCCCCCGGGGACGCCUGCGGAGACGACACAAUGGAGCGAUUCGAUCGUGCCGGUGACAUGCUCCGAAACUUUUCAGUUCUGGUGAGAACGUCUUUGCGAACUUGUUCGUUGCUGAUAUCCCGAAUUUGAGCUGCGAUUGGAGCGUACCCAAUGAGCCGAACGAUAACUUCAACAAGUCGCUCUGCGAGCUGUCUCACGUGGCCAUUUUUAUCGCGAAAGCAGAGCAGGACCGGCUCCAGCACGAGGCGAGCUUCUGCCUCAGAGGGUGUUCUCUGCUCAGCGCCGCGAGACCAGCGUUCACAUAGCCACUGCAGUGUCUCGAGACGAGCGGCGGGCAGCUCGAGGCUCAACGCUGCUGCGAUGUAGCGCGCGAAGCUUGGCCUGCUAUCUGUGUUAUCACGUUCUACAGCAGGAUACCACGCGCUCAUGCACUGUAAAGCUGCCUCGCGUACCAU